RNAcentral lists this signal recognition particle RNA (301 nucleotides) under Pongo abelii (Sumatran orangutan). Its description in RNAcentral is "Metazoan signal recognition particle RNA (ENSPPYG00000035302.1)". It matches the Rfam family "Metazoan signal recognition particle RNA". From Rfam's summary of the family: The signal recognition particle (SRP) is a universally conserved ribonucleoprotein. It is involved in the co-translational targeting of proteins to membranes. Lineage: Eukaryota; Metazoa; Chordata; Mammalia; Primates; Hominidae. The record is from Rfam by way of RNAcentral.
GCCAGAUGUGAUAGCAUGGACCUGUAAUCCCAGCUAUCCAGGAGGCUGAGGCAGGAGGAUUUCUUGAGCCCUGGAGUUCUGGGCUGUAGUGCACUAUGUGGAUCGGCUAUCCACACUCAGUUUGGCAUCAAUAUGGUGACCUCCUGGGAGCAAGGGACCACCAGGUUGCCUAAAGAUGGGCAAACUGGUCCGGGUCAAAAAUGGAGCAGGUCAAAACUUCUAUGCUGAUCAGUAACAGGAUUGUGCCUAUGAAUGAUCACUGCAUUCAAGCCUGGGCAACAUAGCGAGACUCUGGUCUCUU